Molecule: ribosomal RNA, 401 nt
Filed under: uncultured bacterium
Lineage: Bacteria
Description: bacterial SSU rRNA
Rfam family: Bacterial small subunit ribosomal RNA
Source: RNAcentral
AACGAACGCUGGCGGCGUGGAUAAGACAUGCAAGUCGAACGGGAUUACUUCGAGUAGCAAUACCUGAAGUAAUUUAGUGGCGAACGGGUGCGUAACACGUGGGGAAUCUGCCGAGAAGUGGGGAUAGCCCGUCGAAAGGCGAAUUAAUACCGCAUAUGAUCAGGGAAGACAUCUUUCCAACAUCAAAGCCGGGGCAACCUGGCGCUUCUUGAUGACCCCGCGGCCUAUCAGCUAGUUGGUGAGGUAACGGCCCACCAAGGCGAUGACGGGUAGCUGGUCUGAGAGGACGACCAGUCACACUGGAACUGAGACACGGUCCAGACACCUACGGGUGGCAGCAGUCGAGAAUUUUCUCAAGUGGGGCAACCCUGAAGGAGCGACGCCGCGCGGAGGAUGAAGGC